This 380-nucleotide ribosomal RNA is filed under the name uncultured eukaryote. RNAcentral describes it as "partial 18S ribosomal RNA". It matches the Rfam family "Eukaryotic small subunit ribosomal RNA", at positions 592 to 976 of the family's 1831-position model. The record is from RNAcentral.
CAAUAGCGUAUAUUAAAGUUGUUGCAGUUAAAAAGCUCGUAGUUGGAUUUGUGGCGUACGGUGUGUUCCGGGCACUUGUUGUCUGAGUAACCUGCUGUUGCCAUCCUUGGGUGGAACCUGUGUGGCAUUAGGUUGUCGUGCAGGGGAUGCCCAUCAUUUACUGUGAAAAAAUUAGAGUGUUCAAAGCAGGCUUAUGCCGUUGAAUAUAUUAGAAUGGAAUAAUGAGAUAGGACUUUUUUGCUAUUUUGUUGGUUUGCGCAAAGAGGUAAUGAUUAAUAGGGACAGUUGGGGGUAUUCGUAUUCCAUUGUCAGAGGUGAAAUUCUUGGAUUUUUGGAAGACGAACUACUGCGAAAGCAUUUACCAAGGAUGUUUUCAUUAA